GACAGUGAAUCUGUUCCAGGGGCCCGUACAAAGAGCCUGCUCCUCUGUUCUUGCCUCAGUGCUGACAGGAGAAUGGAAAGUGAAACUUUUCAAAACCAAUGGACUUGCACCCCAGCACUCAGAGUUUUUCAGCUUUCAGACACAGGCUUCACAUUAAGGACUUAAACAUUCUGAGCAGCAAAAAAAGAAGGGUAGCAGGGGAACAAGUGAUCUUAAUGAAGUGACAGAGUCAGAUCCUGAGACUGUGUUGAAUCAAUAUACAACUCACAGCAGUGAAUGAACCAAGAGAAGAAGACAGUUCUCCAAAUCUUAAAUUGUUUCAUAUAUUCCUGUGCUGAUUUCAUUGCUCAUAAGACAGGAAAUGUAAUAAAAAGUAUUUUAAAGGGGUACUUUAAAGCUGAUAGGUAUCUUGUGGGCUGGUAUCUUUUCCCAGGCUCACUUAGUUCUAUAAAACUAUGGCAGAAACCUCAAA
Long non-coding RNA from Cyanistes caeruleus (blue tit), 472 nucleotides. RefSeq lists it as uncharacterized. NCBI's taxonomy places the organism in Eukaryota, Metazoa, Chordata, Aves, Passeriformes, Paridae. The record is from RefSeq and is a predicted model, not a curated record.